This 471-nucleotide ribosomal RNA is filed under the name uncultured bacterium. RNAcentral's name for it is "partial 16S ribosomal RNA". It matches the Rfam family "Bacterial small subunit ribosomal RNA", at positions 28 to 507 of the family's 1533-position model. The record is from RNAcentral.
GACGAACGCUGGUGGCGUGCUUAACACAUGCAAGUCGAACGAUGAAGCCUAGCUUGCUAGGUGGAUUAGUGGCGAACGGGUGAGUAAUACGUGAGUAACCUACCUUUAACUCUGGGAUAAGCCUGGGAAACUGGGUCUAAUACCGGAUACGACCAAUCUCCGCAUGGGGUGUUGGUGGAAAGCGUUAUGUAGUGGUUAUAGAUGGGCUCACGGCCUAUCAGCUUGUUGGUGAGGUAACGGCUCACCAAGGCGACGACGGGUAGCCGGCCUGAGAGGGUGACCGGCCACACUGGGACUGAGACACGGCCCAGACUCCUACGGGAGGCAGCAGUGGGGAAUAUUGCACAAUGGGCGCAAGCCUGAUGCAGCGACGCCGCGUGAGGGAUGACGGCCUUCGGGUUGUAAACCUCUGUUAGCAGGGAAGAAGAGAAAUUGACGGUACCUGCAGAGAAAGCGCCGGCUAACUACGUG